UAGGGAAUCUUCGGCAAUGGACGGAAGUCUGACCGAGCAACGCCGCGUGAGUGAAGAAGGUUUUCGGAUCGUAAAGCUCUGUUGUUAGAGAAGAACGUUGGUAGGAGUGGAAAAUCUACCAAGUGACGGUAACUAACCAGAAAGGGACGGCUAACUACGUGCCAGCAGCCGCGGUAAUACGUAGGUCCCGAGCGUUGUCCGGAUUUAUUGGGCGUAAAGCGAGCGCAGGCGGUUCUUUAAGUCUGAAGUUAAAGGCAGUGGCUUAACCAUUGUACGCUUUGGAAACUGGAGGACUUGAGUGCAGAAGAGGAGAGUGGAAUUCCAUGUGUAGCGGUGAAAUGCGUAGAUAUAUGGAGGAACACCGGUGGCGAAAGCAGCUCUCUGGUCUGUAACUAACGCUGAGGCUCGAAAGCGUGGGGAGCGAACAGG
Molecule: ribosomal RNA, 429 nt
Filed under: Bacillota bacterium
Lineage: Bacteria; Bacillati; Bacillota
Description: Firmicutes bacterium partial 16S ribosomal RNA
Rfam family: Bacterial small subunit ribosomal RNA
Source: RNAcentral